RNAcentral lists this ribosomal RNA (449 nucleotides) under uncultured bacterium. Its description in RNAcentral is "bacterial SSU rRNA". It matches the Rfam family "Bacterial small subunit ribosomal RNA", at positions 330 to 794 of the family's 1533-position model. The record is from RNAcentral.
UCCAGACUCCUACGGGAGGCAGCAGUGGGGAAUAUUGGGCAAUGGGCGCAAGCCUGACCCAGCAACGCCGCGUGAAGGAAGAAGGCUUUCGGGUUGUAAACUUCUUUUAAGGGGGAAGAGCAGAAGACGGUACCCCUUGAAUAAGCCACGACUAACUACGUGCCAGCAGCCGCGGUAAUACGUAGGGGGCAAGCGUUAUCCGGAUUUACUGGGUGUAAAGGGAGCGUAGGCGGCGAUGCAAGUCAGAAGUGAAAGCCCGGGGCUCAACUCCGGGACUGCUUUUGAAACUGUGUUGCUAGAUUGCAGGAGAGGUAAGUGGAAUUCCUAGUGUAGCGGUGAAAUGCGUAGAUAUUAGGAGGAACACCAGUGGCGAAGGCGGCUUACUGGACUGUAAAUGACGCUGAGGCUCGAAAGCGUGGGGAGCAAACAGGAUUAGAUACCCGCGUAGU